UACAGAGGUCUCAAGCGUUGUUCGGAUUCAUUGGGCGUAAAGGGUGUGUAGGUGGCGCCGUUAGUCGGGUGUGAAAUUUCGGAGCUUAACUCCGAAACUGCAUUCGAUACUGCGGUGCUUGAGGACUGGAGAGGAGACUGGAAUUUACGGUGUAGCGGUGAAAUGCGUAGAUAUCGUAAGGAAGACCAGUGGCGAAGGCGGGUCUCUGGACAGUUCCUGACGCUGAGGCACGAAGGCCAGGGGAGCAAACGGG
RNAcentral lists this ribosomal RNA (253 nucleotides) under uncultured bacterium. Its description in RNAcentral is "partial 16S ribosomal RNA". It matches the Rfam family "Bacterial small subunit ribosomal RNA", at positions 524 to 776 of the family's 1533-position model. The record is from RNAcentral.